This 1452-nucleotide long non-coding RNA is filed under the name Ailuropoda melanoleuca (giant panda). RNAcentral's name for it is "lncRNA (ENSAMEG00000029730.1)". The record is from RNAcentral. Lineage: Eukaryota; Metazoa; Chordata; Mammalia; Carnivora; Ursidae.
AUGCUGCUUGACCCCGGGGUUCUGGCUGGAGCACCCGAGCAGGGGAGGUACCGCAGCUCGUGGCGCGGGGGGGGGGGGGGGGGGUGGAGACGAGGCGGACUUUCCCGGGGAAAACCAAGAGCACCACUUCGGUUAUCCCAAGUGCAGGGCCCCCAUCUCCUGCAUCCCGGUGGGAAGGCCGGCGCAGGGCUUCGGAGGAGGAAAAGGCCGCCCGCGGGGUCGGGCCGCGGGCUCCUCACGCGCAGACAGCUCCCGGGCUGCUGGGGGCCGACAGAGCAGGGCCCGCGCCGCCCCCGCCGCCGCCGCCCGGCCGCCCCACUCACCUCGAGCGCCUGGCCCAGCUCCAGGUCGAAGGUGACCACGCACACGCACUCCAGCCAGGCCGAGAAGCGCGCCCAGGGCGCCGCCGCAGCCCGCUCCGGGGGACGCCGCGUCCAGGCGGCCGCGAGCCCGGCGAGGCCCGGCGCGGGACAGCGCGUCCAUGGCUGCCGGGACUGCACCCGCCGCGCGUUGCCGGGGGAACGGUUCCGAGGCGUUGCCGGGGGAACAGCCCGGAGGCGGUGGCCUCGGCACCGGAAGGGACCGCGCCGCGGAGCAGUCGAGCGGCCGCCUCAGACCAGAGGUGCCCACCGCGGCCUCCGCGCCCCUGGUGGCCGGAGGAGUGCAGUGCGGCGGAGCGGCGCCCAGCUCACCAGCGAGAAGGGCCCGCUCGGGCCAGAGAGGCCAGAGCCAGGGGGAGGAACUCCGGGGAGGGCGGUGGCUGCGCUGUGGGAGACCCUGGGAAGUUGGGUCCGACGGGGGUCGGGGUUUCCGGGGGCGCGGCGCGGCGGAGCUGAGCAGGGUGUGGACUGGAGGCUGGCCGGAGCGUGUGCUGCCGGCUUUCACAACCAGAGUGCAUCGUCGCUGACACCCUGCCAGCCGUCAGACACGGAUUCCAGCCUAAUUGGAACACAUUGCCUAGCGAUUCCGGGUCUCCCGCUCUUGUUCUCCCUGGGGUCGCCUCGAGGCGUGGGGUCCGCGCACGGUGUCAGGUCGUGGGCUCGCAUGGCAGCACUGACCGGGGCAUCGUUGUCUCCAGGGCCUCGCCCUCCGUGCGGCCCACGCCCGCCUCUGCCUCGCCUCUGUGACCCGGUUGGGCUGCCUUGCACGCCCAGGCCUGUCGAUGGAAACCGAGUAGAAUGCCUGCAUCAGCUAUCGUGCGAGCCACCUGCGCCGCGAGGGAGACGCCAGGCGGCCAGGCCAAGUCCCCGCUCCCCCAUGGCCUCCCGUCUUCCUCCAGCGCUCCUUGUUGGCGGAGCCUUGCCGGCGGUAAUGUCCCCUCCCCCGCAAAGUGGCUGCAGACGCCCCUUCAGUCCCCCACCUCCCAAGUGCGGAGCUGAGAGCAAUUUACCCGAUCAGACGUGCCCUGUGUAUUUGAGUUUGUAUGAAAGCUCCCCCUCCAAAUUAGGCUAA